UACGGAGGGUGCAAGCGUUUAUCCGGAUUCACUGGGUUUAAAGGGUGCGUAGGAGGGCAGGUAAGUCAGUGGUGAAAUCCCCGAGCUUAACUUGGGAACUGCCGUUGAUACUAUCUGUCUUGAAUACCGUGGAGGUGAGCGAAAUAUGUCAUGUAGCGGUGAAUGCUUAGAUAUGACAUAGAACACCAAUUGCGAAGGCAGCUCGCUACACGAAUAUUGACUCUGAGGCACGAAAGCGUGGGAUCAAACAGG
Molecule: ribosomal RNA, 252 nt
Filed under: uncultured bacterium
Lineage: Bacteria
Description: partial 16S ribosomal RNA
Rfam family: Bacterial small subunit ribosomal RNA
Source: RNAcentral